ACCUGGCACACCUGACACACCAGUUUCCCCACCUUCACCUGCUCCAAGACCAUCUCAUGUUCCUAUACCAUCUACCAAUACCUCAACAGGUGUUUUUUGUUUUUUUUUGCCACAGCAUUUUCAUGGAAUUCCUGCUCGCUUUUGUAUUUUUUUUUUUUAGAUCCUUGCAGCAGUGUGGGUGAUACACCAACCACUGCAAACCUGGACCGGCUGUCACCACCCACCCUUGGAGGUGCCGACAUUUGCUCCCAGUCACCUGUGUUGGCUCCUGAUUCAUUGGGUUCAUCUGCAGCUACACCAAGAAUACACAGGGGAGGCAGACCCAAAAUUGUGAGGACUCCAAGGACCACUUCUCUAAUUCAGUCACUAAGGGCGUCACGUGACAAGCUGCGAAAAAGUCUGUUUCGUGCUAGAAGAACUGCUUCGACAGCACAGCUAAGUACCUUGUCAAGAGCUCAGAUAAUUAACGGUGCAUCACGGUAUAUGUCAAAGGAGGCACUUGAAAUUUUCAGGGUUCAGUUGUACCUGCAGCGUUUUCGCAAGUAUGGGCGCCGGUGGCCUGAGUACUUCCGGGGUUUAGCCCUAAAAUUGCACU
Long non-coding RNA from Ornithodoros turicata, 595 nucleotides. RefSeq lists it as uncharacterized. NCBI's taxonomy places the organism in Eukaryota, Metazoa, Arthropoda, Arachnida, Ixodida, Argasidae. The record is from RefSeq and is a predicted model, not a curated record. The transcript has 3 exons.